GGGGCCAUAGCUCAGUUGGUAGAGCGCUUGGAUGGCAUUCAAGAGGUUGGCGGUUCGAUCCCGCCUGGCUCCACCA
RNAcentral lists this transfer RNA (76 nucleotides) under Candidatus Jidaibacter acanthamoebae. RNAcentral describes it as "Candidatus Jidaibacter acanthamoeba tRNA-Ala". It matches the Rfam family "tRNA". From Rfam's summary of the family: Transfer RNA (tRNA) molecules are approximately 80 nucleotides in length. Their secondary structure includes four short double-helical elements and three loops (D, anti-codon, and T loops). The record is from RNAcentral. Lineage: Bacteria; Pseudomonadati; Pseudomonadota; Alphaproteobacteria; Rickettsiales; Candidatus Midichloriaceae. RNAcentral also lists the same sequence under 1 other name.